RNAcentral lists this ribosomal RNA (527 nucleotides) under Pezizomycotina sp. 7R133-1. Its description in RNAcentral is "eukaryotic LSU rRNA". The stretch from base 161 to 314 matches the Rfam family "5.8S ribosomal RNA". The record is from RNAcentral. Lineage: Eukaryota; Fungi; Ascomycota.
AACCUGCGGAAGGAUCAUUAUCGUGGGGCUCCGGCCCUGUCGAGAUAGAACCCUUGCCUUUUGAGUACCGUCCGUUUCCUCGGCAGGCCCGCCUGCCAAUGGGGACCCCCAUAAACCCUUUUAUGUACCUGUAUCAGUCUGAAAAACAAACAAAAGUUAAAACUUUCAACAACGGAUCUCUUGGUUCUGGCAUCGAUGAAGAACGCAGCGAAAUGCGAUAAGUAGUGUGAAUUGCAGAAUUCAGUGAAUCAUCGAAUCUUUGAACGCACAUUGCGCCCUUUGGUAUUCCUUAGGGCAUGCCUGUUCGAGCGUCAUUUGGAAACUCAAGCUCAGCUUGGUGUUGGGUGUCUGUCUCCGCCCCGCGGGGACUCGCCUCAAAAGCAUUGGCGGCCGGUACGUUGGCUUCGAGCGCAGCAGAAACGCGAACUCGGGGCUGGCGGAUCGGCGACCAGAAGUAUCUUCUUUACAGCUUGACCUCGGAUCAGGUAGGGAUACCCGCUGAACUUAAGCAUAUCAAUAAGCGGAGG